CGGAGGAUCCAAGCGUUAUCCGGAAUCAUUGGGUUUAAAGGGUCCGUAGGCGGUUUUAUAAGUCAGUGGUGAAAUCUGGUCGCUCAACGAUCAAACGGCCAUUGAUACUGUAAGACUUGAAUUACUUGGAAGUAACUAGAAUAUGUAGUGUAGCGGUGAAAUGCUUAGAGAUUACAUGGAAUACCAAUUGCGAAGGCAGGUUACUACAAGUAUAUUGACGCUGAUGGACGAAAGCGUGGGGACGCGAACAGGAUUAGAUACCCUGGUAGUCCACGCCGUAAACGAUGGAUACUAGCUGUUUGGAGCAAUCUGAGUGGCUAAGCGAAAGUGAUAAGUAUCCCACCUGGGGAGUACGCUCGCAAGAGUG
This 367-nucleotide ribosomal RNA is filed under the name uncultured organism. RNAcentral describes it as "bacterial SSU rRNA". It matches the Rfam family "Bacterial small subunit ribosomal RNA", at positions 526 to 896 of the family's 1533-position model. The record is from RNAcentral.